GGGCCAGUGCAACUGCCUGAGGGGCAUGCUACCCGGGCUUGGCGGCCCCGCGGGAGUGGAGGGGAGCCCCGACACCACGGUGAAGACUGCUUCUCUCCUCUUUAACUUCCCCGCCUUCUCUUUCCGAAGUUUCAGCAAACACCGCCGCGGCCUCUCUCGGCACCCACGGGACCACGCGAAGAAGGGAGGGAGCAGCAUCCGGGCCCUUCGCGGGUGAACCGGCGGGCGGCCGGGCGGCCUGAGGCCUGCGCGUUUCCCAGCCGGAGCCGUGGGCAGCAUAGCCCUGCCUCCAGGUACUCCAGGAAGUCGCAGGAGCCCAGAGGUGCGGCCUGAAACGCCACAGACGUCUGCCGGCCUCAUCCCGGUGAGGGCCUCCGAGCUUCCAUCCCCACGAGGAAGGACAGAAUAUUUCCCCCCAGGAGAAGAAACACAGUUGCAGAGUCAAAACCGGCCUUGCCUGAAGCCUCACCUCUUUCCAGAAUGUUCCCUCUCAGCUGAGUCCCUCCUCAGAACUCCACCUUUUACACAGGAAACUUUGUUAUAUAGCAUUUAACUAAGAUUGUGAACUGG
Manis javanica (Malayan pangolin) is the source of this 570-nucleotide long non-coding RNA. RefSeq lists it as uncharacterized. The record is from RefSeq and is a predicted model, not a curated record. Lineage: Eukaryota; Metazoa; Chordata; Mammalia; Pholidota; Manidae.